This 252-nucleotide long non-coding RNA is filed under the name Olea europaea (common olive). RNAcentral's name for it is "long non-coding RNA (OEUR_LNC001884)". The record is from RNAcentral. Lineage: Eukaryota; Viridiplantae; Streptophyta; Magnoliopsida; Lamiales; Oleaceae.
AUUGCUGUACACCAAUCUGGACACUUGGAGGCUUGAUGAUAGGAUGUAGGCUCAUAAGAUGAUGAUAUGGACAAUACAUAAGCCUUGUGAGCAGAUGACAAAUGGUCAUAACCAACAUAUGCUGAAAUGUCAUAUUGCUUACCUGUUUCAGGUGUGACAAUCAUCUUGGAAUCAGAUUGGAUUUGGGAAUCAUUGCAUUUGGCCAAAUUGCAGUGAUAUUGUUCAAGGUAUGAAGGUGGUCUAUGAACCCUU